AGAACUUUGAGAGAGAGUUCAAGAGUACGUGAAACUGCUCAGAGGCAAACGGGUGGGCACUCGAAAUCCUCUUGUGGAGGGAUUCAGUCGGAAGCGGACGGGAGCCGUCUAUUUCGGACCCCUAUCAGAGGCCGAGAGAGUCGGUGCUAACCUAUUCGCGUCCGACGCACUUCCUUCCGCACCGUGGACGCCGCAACCGGUCGGGUAGCUGCGAGAGUCGGCCGUGAGGGUGUGCGAUGGCAGGUGACCGGUGACGUUGGCCUCGGCCUCGUCGCCGGUUGUUAGCCGGUGCACCCGUGGCGCGACACCCGACCGAGGUCGAAGUUCCCUACUGGGAACGCGCCGUUUCCUUCCCCCGGAAGCGGGAGGCGGAGCACGCGCGUCGGUGCGUUGCCGCGUCACUCAUCGCAGUGGCCGGCACGCAUCGGACGUGGUUGGUUUCGUCGGUCCCGCGGUGAAGAAACACGGUUGGCGGCGAGUAGGUCGGUCACCCACCCGACCCGUCUUGAAACACGGACCAAGGAGUCUAACAUGUGCGCGAGUCGCCGGGUCUUGAACAGGCCCGCGGGCGCAAUGAAAGUGAAAUUGUUGGGACCCGGUCCCUCGAGGGCCGGGGCACCAACGACCCGUCCAUUGUGGUCUGACCACUGGGGCGGAGUCGGAGCGUACACGUUGGGACCCGAAAGAUGGUGAACUAUGCCUGGGCAGAACGAAGCCAGAGGAAACUCUGGUGGAGGUUCGCAGCGGUUCUGACGUGCAAUCGAUCGKUCAGACCCRGG
This 779-nucleotide ribosomal RNA is filed under the name Chisosa diluta. RNAcentral's name for it is "partial 28S ribosomal RNA". Lineage: Eukaryota; Metazoa; Arthropoda; Arachnida; Araneae; Pholcidae. The record is from RNAcentral.